Molecule: transfer RNA, 86 nt
Filed under: Halanaerobium saccharolyticum
Lineage: Bacteria; Bacillati; Bacillota; Clostridia; Halanaerobiales; Halanaerobiaceae
Description: tRNA-Leu
Rfam family: tRNA
About the family: Transfer RNA (tRNA) molecules are approximately 80 nucleotides in length. Their secondary structure includes four short double-helical elements and three loops (D, anti-codon, and T loops).
Source: RNAcentral
GCCGAAGUGGCGGAACUGGCAGACGCGCAGCGUUGAGGGCGCUGUGGGCAUCUUUGCCUGUGAGGGUUCGAAUCCCACCUUCGGCA